GUUUGUAUCUUCAUAAUUGUUAAAUUGUACAGAUGUUGCUCAAUACUAGUAGCCCUUAAAAGUCUUCUUUACAGACUUUUUUAGGAAAUGUAUAUGGCAAGUUCAAAUUUUCUAACGUUUUUCUAACUUGAAAAAAAGUAUGACAUUUGUAUGAAGAUUAAGUGGUGUUGUAUUAUGCUUGAAUCUUGACUGGUAUUCAAUAUUAUCCAGAAAAUCAUAUUGGUUGAUUUGUUGACAUGAUGACACAUUUGUUGUGUAGAUAAAAUUGUUUUGUGAAGAAAAAGUAUCUUUGGAUGGUGAAAUAGUGAAAAAUAAUCUAUAAUUGUCACUGAUAUUCCAUUUUUUUCCAUAUAUGUUGUAUAUCCCCAUCUAUGGAUUACUAUUUAAAGAAGGUUUCACCUGCGACUGAUAAGUCUAAAAACAAGGCUGACAAUGAACCUUUUAAAAAUGUUUACAUUGAAGUACAAUAAAUUAAAAUUAAUUGGGAAAGUUGACUUGAUGUAAAAAAUAUGACAGCUAGCAGGGUCCCAAUGAUGAAAACUUGCAUUUUGUUGUUGUUGUUAUCUUUCUUCACACAAUGUUUACUAUCCCAGUUUUAUACCAAUAAUCAAGUGAUUUGCAAUAAUAAAUGUACACAUUAAUUUUUGAAAUCACAAUAAAUAAAAAAAUAUUAUUUUUUUUCUAAAUUCAUAAUUUAUCCUGUGAAAGAAGUCAUUGAUGUCUGUAAGGAUAAAUUAAAAUAAUAUUUUUUUAUUUCUAAACUAUAUUUAGUGCUUUUGGUAAACAUUUUCUUUUUGUGGCCUAUACCUUUAAUGUCUUGUUUAUAUGUGAUAGUGCUAUUACCUCCCUUUAAACAUUAACCUUUUAAUACAUUAUUUGUUGUAUACAUAUGCUUAUUUCACUGUAUGUAGAAGCAUGUUAUAUCAUUAUUUUUGUACUUAGAAAAUGGAUCAUAUUUUUUUGAAUUAAUGAAAUGUAUUAUAAACAUAAAAUAAGAUGAAGUUGAUAUUUACACAAGAUAAAUAAAUGUAUUAUGAGUGGACACUUUUGAAUUAAAUUUUACAUAUCAAUUCUGGUCUGCAAGGUGUUAUUAUCUGUCAAAGGAGUUGUGAUAGAUUAUUUAUUUUAUGCAAAAUUGUAGUCAAUUUAUGAAUUAUAACUUAUUCAUUUUAAUAUUAAGAAAAUGUAAAAAUUAUUUAGUUUGUGAGCCAAGGGAAACUUAAGGCCCUUAAUAGCUUGCUGUUCAGGGAACCAAGGCUCUGAUUUAAAGACAGAACUUUGAUCUAUAAUGGUUUACUUUUACAAAUUGUGACUUGAAUGGAGAGAUGUCUCAUUGGCACUCAUACCACAUCUUCUUAUAUCUGUAUAGUAUACACUUUUUCACUGUUGAAGUCUGUAAUAAAUGUUGUCAAACAUGACUACAUUACUAUUUUUCUGGCAACAAAAUUUUCAGCAGUAUCAUAAACACCUAAUUCAAGUAAUUGGAUCAAGUUUAUUUUAGAAUGAAUACUUACCUAGAUUUCUUACUAUUUAAUGAAUAGUUGCAUUUGUUUCUAGGUAUCUCAAUAGUGUACAGAGCAUAGGAUUAAACCCUUGAUCUUAGCUUACGUGACUUCAGAUUUUCAAAAUGAAGUGUUCUUACUACAUAUGUUUGGAAAUAUUUAUGAUAUACCAUUCAUAUAUAGUAUACUGUUGCUUUUAUAUCUUGCUAUGGGAGUACAUGAGGCUCUGCACCAUUUGUUAUGCUUCAGAUACUUUAUAAUUUUCCUAAUUUAUCGAAGAUUUUUCUAAAUACUUGCAUUUGUGAAAAUAAAUGUGAAUAUACCAUUGAUAUCUUGCUUUCCAUUGCAUUUGCAGAUCAACAGAUUUCUAAGUCAACAUUUAUACAAUGUCAAAAUCACAAAGCAGGACUUAGAACUAAAUAAAAAAUUAGCAGAAUCCAACCUUUACCCCUGAAACAGCAGGUUAUUUAAUAUAGGAAACUUUUAUCCGCACUAAUUUUCAGAAAUGUUGUGUCUUUUCAAACCCUUGAAUGUUUGUUGUAAGUAGUAAGGAUAAAAUGUUAUAGUUAGUUAGUUUAGUGUAUACAUGUUAAAAUAACAAAACAAUUCAAAACCAUUGAAAACUAAGAUAUGAACAUUCUGUUUGGUUUACACAUCUGAUGCAGUGUACUCCUUGCUAGAUAGAAAAUAAAUCAUA
This 2199-nucleotide long non-coding RNA is filed under the name Mytilus galloprovincialis (Mediterranean mussel). The record is from RNAcentral. Lineage: Eukaryota; Metazoa; Mollusca; Bivalvia; Mytilida; Mytilidae.